Protopterus annectens (West African lungfish) is the source of this 73-nucleotide non-coding RNA. Lineage: Eukaryota; Metazoa; Chordata; Ceratodontiformes; Protopteridae. The record is from the annotation of a RefSeq genome assembly.
GCCCAGGUAGCUCAAUCGGUAGAAUAUCAGACUCUUAAUCUGAGGGCCCAGGGUUCAAGACCCUGCUUGGGCA